UACGGGGGGGGCAAGCGUUGUUCGGAAUUACUGGGCGUAAAGGGCGCGUAGGCGGUCAUACUAAGUCGGAUGUGAAAUACCAAGGCUUAACCUUGGCAGGUCGUCUGAUACUGGUAGACUAGAGUGUGGAAGGGGUUACUGGAAUUCCUGGUGUAGCGGUGAAAUGCGUAGAUAUCAGGAGGAACACCGGAGGCGAAGGCGGGUAACUGGGCCAACACUGACGCUGAGGCGCGAAAGCUAGGGGAGCAAACAGG
Molecule: ribosomal RNA, 254 nt
Filed under: uncultured bacterium
Lineage: Bacteria
Description: partial 16S ribosomal RNA
Rfam family: Bacterial small subunit ribosomal RNA
Source: RNAcentral